CCCGCACAAGCAGUGGAGUAUGUGGUUUAAUUCGAAGCAACGCGAAGAACCUUACCAGGUCUUGACAUCCCCUGACAACCCGAGAGAUCGGGCGUUCCCCUUCGGGGACAGGGUGACAGGUGGUGCAUGGUUGUCGUCAGCUCGUGUCGUGAGAUGUUGGGUUAAGUCCCGCAACGAGCGCAACCCUCGACCUUAGUUGCCAGCAUUCAGUUGGGCACUCUAAGGUGACUGCCGGCUAAAAGUCGGAGGAAGUGGGGAUGACGUCAAAUCAUCAUGCCCCUUAUGACCUGGGCUACACACGUGCUACAAUGGGCGGUACAAAGGGUCGCGAACCCGCGAGGGGGAGCCAAUCCCAAAAAGCCGCUCUCAGUUCGGAUUGCAGGCUGCAACUCGCCUGCAUGAAGCCGGAAUCGCUAGUAAUCGCGGAUCAGCAUGCCGCAGUGAAUACGUUCCCGGGCCUU
RNAcentral lists this ribosomal RNA (461 nucleotides) under uncultured Anoxybacillus sp. RNAcentral's name for it is "bacterial SSU rRNA". It matches the Rfam family "Bacterial small subunit ribosomal RNA", at positions 920 to 1382 of the family's 1533-position model. Lineage: Bacteria; Bacillati; Bacillota; Bacilli; Caryophanales; Anoxybacillaceae. The record is from RNAcentral.